UACGGAGGGUGCAAGCGUUGUCCGGAUUUAUUGGGUUUAAAGGGUGCGUAGGCGGCUAAUUAAGUCAGUGGUGAAAUACAGCAGCUCAACUGUUGAGGUGCCAUUGAUACUGAAUAGCUUGAGUACAGAUGAGGUAGGCGGAAUUUAUGGUGUAGCGGUGAAAUGCAUAGAUACCAUAAAGAACACCGAUUGCGAAGGCAGCUUACUAAGCUGUAACUGACGCUGAGGCACGAAAGCGUGGGGAGCGAACAGG
RNAcentral lists this ribosomal RNA (253 nucleotides) under uncultured bacterium. RNAcentral describes it as "partial 16S ribosomal RNA". It matches the Rfam family "Bacterial small subunit ribosomal RNA", at positions 524 to 776 of the family's 1533-position model. The record is from RNAcentral.